RNAcentral lists this unclassified non-coding RNA (390 nucleotides) under Monanthotaxis lucidula. Its description in RNAcentral is "partial external transcribed spacer". Lineage: Eukaryota; Viridiplantae; Streptophyta; Magnoliopsida; Magnoliales; Annonaceae. The record is from RNAcentral.
GUCUUCCGAUUCUAUUCUCGCGAGCCGACCCAUCGACGAUACGAUAGGAGGGCGCGGCGGGGCCGCGAACGCACCCGCCGGCAUCCUCCGCAUCCGAAAGCACGCUCUGGCGCCGAGGUCCGCGUGCCCCCCCACCCCAGCGGGGGGCAACGGCGCACGGCRACAGUCCGAAUGCCCGCCGCACAACUAUAUCCCCGGAGGAGCCCGGGGGCUUCCUUCCUGGGCAUGGGCGGCCGGGUGCAAAACUCAACCAACUAGUGCCAGUACCCCGAAACCUGCACAGGGUAGGAAGCACAGGCAACGCAUACUCGGACCGCGAGGCAGGAGCUCGAGCCCGGACCUCCGGCCAACAAUGCAAAGGCUAAGUCCCGUGACGGUUGGCUGCAKGAA